Myodes glareolus (Bank vole) is the source of this 499-nucleotide non-coding RNA. NCBI's taxonomy places the organism in Eukaryota, Metazoa, Chordata, Mammalia, Rodentia, Cricetidae. The record is from RefSeq and is a predicted model, not a curated record.
CAGAAUCUCAAAGCUACACAUGUACUGUGCUCGCUCCACGGAUGCCUGGCCAGGCUUCGGAUGGCUUUCCCCAGAGUUGAUUCAUACAGGCCCCCAGGAGAGGCAACGCAUUGGACAAACACAUACUCAGUCCUGGCUCCGGAAUCAGGCGGUCUGAAGCUCUGAGAUGAAAUGCUCCCUCAAGGGCAAGCAGAAGGUUCCUGGGACUCAGAGGCAAGCAAAAGGCCACAUCUCUGGGAAAAAGAAAACUUGGAAGAUUUCCAAAGGUCCCUCCCAGCUUUAUGAAGGAGUCCGCAGCUGCCGGGAGAACAGACUGACCAACGCAGCUGCCAAGAGGAGAUUCUUGGGCUGUUGAGCCACCGGCAAACUGUGCUGAGAAUUUCAGGACCCCAGAGUUUGUGAGGCUGCACCUGUGUUGGGGGUGCCUUUCAGGACUGCAGUAACUUUCCUAAGUCACCCCUGCUCCUGUAAGUAGCCCCUCACCCAUGCCCCAGUUAGU